GAUGAACGCUGGCGGCGUGCCUAACACAUGCAAGUCGAGCGAACAGACGAUGAGCUUGUGCUUCUGACGUUAGCGGCGGACGGGCGAGUAACAAGUGGAUAACCAACUUCUUAUACUGGGAUAAUAUCGGGAGACAGGAGCCAAUACUGGAUAAUACAUCGUACCGCAUGGAUCAAUAGAUCUUGACAGUUUUCGCGAUUCAUAUAGCUGAAUCCGGGUCGGAUAAGCUAGUUGGUAAGGUAACGGCUCACCAAGGCAACGAUGCGUAGCUGAGCUGAGAGGGUGAUCGGCCACACUGGAACUGAGACACGGUCCAGACUCCUACGGGAGGCAGCAGUAGGGAAUCUUGCGCAAUGGGCGAAAGCCUGAUGGAGCAACGCCGCGUGAGUGAAGAAGGUCUUCGGGUCGUAAAGCUCUUUUAUUAGGGAAGAACAAAUGUGUAAGUAACUAUGCACGUCUUGACGGUACCUAAACAGAAAGCCCCGGCUAACUACGUG
RNAcentral lists this ribosomal RNA (497 nucleotides) under uncultured bacterium. RNAcentral describes it as "partial 16S ribosomal RNA". It matches the Rfam family "Bacterial small subunit ribosomal RNA", at positions 28 to 507 of the family's 1533-position model. The record is from RNAcentral.